This 1151-nucleotide ribosomal RNA is filed under the name uncultured organism. RNAcentral's name for it is "bacterial SSU rRNA". It matches the Rfam family "Bacterial small subunit ribosomal RNA", at positions 197 to 1352 of the family's 1533-position model. The record is from RNAcentral.
GAAGCUAAAGGAUUUAUUCACUUCCCGAGGGGCUCGCGGCCCAUCAGCUUGUUGGUGAGGGUAACGGCCCACCAAGGCGACAACGGGUAGCUGGUCUGAGAGGAUGGUCAGCCACACUGGAACUGAGACACGGUCCAGACACCUACGGGUGGCAGCAGUCGAGAAUCAUUCGCAAUGGGGGAAACCCUGACGAUGCGACGCCGCGUGGAGGAUGAAGGCCUUAGGGUUGUAAACUCCUGUCAAGAGGGAAUAAGCAAGUGAAGGUACCUCUAGAGGAAGGGGCGGCUAAUUCCGUGCCAGCAGCCGCGGUAACACGGAAGCCCCGAGCGUUGUUCGGAUUCAUUGGGCGUAAAGGGUGCGUAGGCGGCGCGGAAAGUCCGGCGUGAAAGGCAGGGGCUCAACCUCUGGACUGCGUUGGAUACUUCCGUGCUUGAGGACUGGAGGGGAGACUGGAAUUCACGGUGUAGCAGUGAAAUGCGUAGAUAUCGUGAGGAAGACCGGUGGCGAAGGCGAGUCUCUGGACAGAUCCUGACGCUGAGGCACGAAGGCUGGGGGAGCGAACAGGAUUAGAUACCCUGGUAGUCCCAGCAGUAAACGAUGUGAGCUUGAUGUAGGGGGAUUCGACCCCUUCCGUGUCGAAGCUAACGCGAUAAGCUCACCGCCUGAGGAGUACGGCCGCAAGGCUAAAACUCAAAGAAAUUGACGGGGACCCGCACAAGCGGUGGAGUAUGUGGCUUAAUUCGAUGCAACGCGAAGAACCUUACCUGGCCUUGACAUGCAUUGUGUCGUCGGUGAAAGCCGGCUAGUCCUGGAAACAGGACGCUUUGCACAGGUGCUGCAUGGCUGUCGUCAGCUCGUGUCGUGAGAUGUUGGGUUAAGUCCCGCAACGAGCGCAACCCUUGUGGUCAGUUACUAACCGGCUUAGCCGGAGGACUCUGGCCAGACUGCCCUGUCAAACGGGGAGGAAGGUGGGGACGACGUCAAGUCAGUAUGGCCCUUAUGGCCAGGGCUGCACACGUACUACAAUGCCCGGUACAAUGUGAACCGAAACCGCGAGGUGGAGGAAAUCGCUCUUGAAAACCGGGCCCAGUUCGGAUUGGAGUCUGCAACUCGACUCCAUGAAGUCGGAAUCGCUAGUAAUGGCGUAUCAG